ACUGCGUACCUUUUGUAUAAUGGGUCAGCGACUUAUAUUCUGUAGCAAGGUUAACCGUAUAGGGGAGCCGUAGGGAAACCGAGUCUUAACCGGGCGUUAAGUUGCAGGGUAUAGACCCGAAACCCGGUGAUCUAGCCAUGGGCAGGUUGAAGGUUGGGUAACACUAACUGGAGGACCGAACCGACUAAUGUUGAAAAAUUAGCGGAUGACCUGUGGCUGGGGGUGAAAGGCCAAUCAAACCGGGAGAUAGCUGGUUCUCCCCGAAAGCUAUUUAGGUAGCGCCUCGUGAAUUCAUCUCCGGGGGUAGAGCACUGUUUCGGCUAGGGGGCCAUCCCGGCUUACCAACCCGAUGCAAACUGCGAAUACCGGAGAAUGUUAUCACGGGAGACACACGGCGGGUGCUAACGUCCGUCGUGAAGAGGGAAACAACCCAGACCGCCAGCUAAGGUCCCAAAGUCAUGGUUAAGUGGGAAACGAUGUGGGAAGGCCCAGACAGCCAGGAUGUUGGCUUAGAAGCAGCCAUCAUUUAAAGAAAGCGUAAUAGCUCACUGGUCGAGUCGGCCUGCGCGGAAGAUGUAACGGGGCUAAACCAUGCACCGAAGCUGCGGCAGCGAACGUAUCACCCAAGACAACUUUACGGAGUUGACGAUUGACGGAGCGAAGCGACGUCAAAGCGUUCAUUAAAGUCGAGUUGGCUUAGGGAUACGUUCGUUGGGUAGGGGAGCGUUCUGUAAGCCUGUGAAGGUGUGUCGUGAGGCAUGCUGGAGGUAUCAGAAGUGCGAAUGCUGACAUAAGUAACGAUAAAGCGGGUGAAAAGCCCGCUCGCCGGAAGACCAAGGGUUCCUGUCCAACGUUAAUCGGGGCAGGGUGAGUCGACCCCUAAGGCGAGGCCGAAAGGCGUAGUCGAUGGGAAACGGGUUAAUAUUCCCGUACUUGGUGUUACUGCGAAGGGGGGACGGAGAAGGCUAUGUUGGCCGGGCGACGGUUGUCCCGGUUUAAGCGUGUAGGUGUGUGUUCCAGGUAAAUCCGGUUCACUUUAACACUGAGGCGUGACGACGAGGCACUACGGUGCUGAAGCAACAAAUGCCCUGCUUCCAGGAAAAGCCUCUAAGCAUCAGGUAACACGAAAUCGUACCCCAAACCGACACAGGUGGUCAGGUAGAGAAUACCAAGGCGCUUGAGAGAACUCGGGUGAAGGAACUAGGCAAAAUGGUGCCGUAACUUCGGGAGAAGGCACGCUGACACGUAGGUGAAGUGAUUUACUCAUGGAGCUGAAGUCAGUCGAAGAUACCAGCUGGCUGCAACUGUUUAUUAAAAACACAGCACUGUGCAAACACGAAAGUGGACGUAUACGGUGUGACGCCUGCCCGGUGCCGGAA
Molecule: ribosomal RNA, 1379 nt
Filed under: Salmonella enterica subsp. enterica serovar Typhimurium
Lineage: Bacteria; Pseudomonadati; Pseudomonadota; Gammaproteobacteria; Enterobacterales; Enterobacteriaceae
Description: partial 23S ribosomal RNA
Rfam family: Bacterial large subunit ribosomal RNA
Source: RNAcentral